AGAGUUUGAUCCUGGCUCAGGACGAACGCUGGCGGCGUGCUUAACACAUGCAAGUCGAACGGAAAGGCCCCUUCGGGGGUACUCGAGUGGCGAACGGGUGAGUAACACGUGGGUGAUCUGCCCUGCACUUUGGGAUAAGCCUGGGAAACUGGGUCUAAUACCGAAUAGGACCGCAUGCUUCAUGGUGUGUGGUGGAAAGCUUUUGCGGUGUGGGAUGGGCCCGCGGCCUAUCAGCUUGUUGGUGGGGUAAUGGCCUACCAAGGCGACGACGGGUAGCCGGCCUGAGAGGGUGUCCGGCCACACUGGGACUGAGAUACGGCCCAGACUCCUACGGGAGGCAGCAGUGGGGAAUAUUGCACAAUGGGCGCAAGCCUGAUGCAGCGACGCCGCGUGGGGGAUGACGGCCUUCGGGUUGUAAACCUCUUUCAGUAUCGGCGAAGCUCCAGGAUUUUUCUUGGGGUGACGGUAGGUACAGAAGAAGCACCGGCCAACUACGUGCCAGCAGCCGCGGUAAUACGUAGGGUGCGAGCGUUGUCCGGAAUUACUGGGCGUAAAGAGCUCGUAGGUAGUUUGUCACGUUGUCUGUGAAAACUCACAGCUUAACUGUGGGCGUGCGGGCGAUACGGGCAGACUGGAGUACUGUAGGGGAGACUGGAAUUCCUGGUGUAGCGGUGGAAUGCGCAGAUAUCAGGAGGAACACCGGUGGCGAAGGCGGGUCUCCGGGCAGUAACUGACGCUGAGGAGCGAAAGCGUGGGGAGCGAACAGGAUUAGAUACCCUGGUAGUCCAA
Molecule: ribosomal RNA, 789 nt
Filed under: uncultured bacterium
Lineage: Bacteria
Description: bacterial SSU rRNA
Rfam family: Bacterial small subunit ribosomal RNA
Source: RNAcentral